GCUAAUACCGCAUAAUGUCGCAAGACCAAAGAGGGGGACCUUCGGGCCUCUUGCCAUCAGAUGUGCCCAGAUGGGAUUAGCUUGUUGGUGAGGUAACGGCUCACCAAGGCGACGAUCCCUAGCUGGUCUGAGAGGAUGACCAGCCACACUGGAACUGAGACACGGUCCAGACUCCUACGGGAGGCAGCAGUGGGGAAUAUUGCACAAUGGGCGCAAGCCUGAUGCAGCCAUGCCGCGUGUAUGAAGAAGGCCUUCGGGUUGUAAAGUACUUUCAGCGGGGAGG
This 283-nucleotide ribosomal RNA is filed under the name Salmonella enterica subsp. enterica serovar Brandenburg. RNAcentral describes it as "partial 16S ribosomal RNA". It matches the Rfam family "Bacterial small subunit ribosomal RNA", at positions 162 to 447 of the family's 1533-position model. The record is from RNAcentral. Lineage: Bacteria; Pseudomonadati; Pseudomonadota; Gammaproteobacteria; Enterobacterales; Enterobacteriaceae.